RNAcentral lists this ribosomal RNA (347 nucleotides) under uncultured bacterium. Its description in RNAcentral is "bacterial SSU rRNA". It matches the Rfam family "Bacterial small subunit ribosomal RNA", at positions 1 to 334 of the family's 1533-position model. The record is from RNAcentral.
ACAGAUCGUUCAGAGUUUGAUCCUGGCUCAGGAUGAACGCUGGCGGCGUGCUUAACACAUGCAAGUCGAACGAAGCACUUUGAUUUCUUCGGAAGGAUGAGUGACUUAGUGGCGGACGGGUGAGUAACGCGUGGGUAACCUGCCUCGUACAGGGGGAUAACAGUUAGAAAUGACUGCUAAUACCGCAUAUGCACACAGCACCGCAUGGUGCAGGGUGGAAAGAUUUAUCGGUACGAGAUGGACCCGCGUUGGAUUAGCUAGUUGGUGAGGUAACGGCCCACCAAGGCGACGAUCCAUAGCCGGCCUGAGAGGGUGAACGGCCACAUUGGGACUGAGACACGGCCCAA